Molecule: ribosomal RNA, 313 nt
Filed under: uncultured bacterium
Lineage: Bacteria
Description: bacterial SSU rRNA
Rfam family: Bacterial small subunit ribosomal RNA
Source: RNAcentral
GGAUUAGAUACCCGGGUAGUCCACGCCGUAAACGAUGGGCACUAGGUGUGGGGGGUGUCGGACUCCCCCCGUGCCGCAGCUAACGCAUUAAGUGCCCCGCCUGGGGAGUACGGCCGCAAGGCUAAAAACUCAAAGGAAUUGACGGGGGCCCGCACAAGGCAGCGGAGCAUGUGGUUUAAUUCGACGCAACGCGAAGAACCUUACCUGGGCUUGACAUAUACCGAAAAGCUGCAGAGAUGUAGUGUCCUUCGGGCCGGUAUACAGGUGGUGCAUGGUUGUCGGUUCAGCUCGUGCCGUGAGGUGUUGGGUUAAG